This is a long non-coding RNA of Nyctereutes procyonoides (raccoon dog), 2137 nucleotides long. RefSeq lists it as uncharacterized. NCBI's taxonomy places the organism in Eukaryota, Metazoa, Chordata, Mammalia, Carnivora, Canidae. The transcript has 6 exons. The record is from RefSeq and is a predicted model, not a curated record.
CAGCACUUUGAAAAUUCUUUCAAUGGAUUUUUUUUUCCUUGAAAGAUCGUACUGGGGAAAAUGAUACUUCUAUUAGUUACAUAUUCUCCAAUAGCACACUGGCACCCCCCUCGUUCUGAGAUCGCUCCCUAGGCAGGCUCAGGCGGGCGCGGAGCUGCGCGGAGUGACAAAGCCGCCGCGGCCGCCGCUGGGGGUGGGAGCCGCGCUCGCCCGCCCCUCGACUCGGGAGAGCGUAAAAGUUUGUCUCAGCUCCAGCAUCCCGAUCCUCAACACGCCCUCAGUACAGAGGCAGGCAGUCGAGGGCAGAGGAAGCAGCAGAGGAGAGGGAGCCCGGGAGAGGAGAGAGGCCGUGGAGAGGGACGGAGCCGGAGGAAGAGGAGGCGGAGGCGAGCGCCCGGGAACCCGAGGCCCCCCGGACGCCCUCGGACCCCGCACCGUGCGCCCUGGGCAGCCGAAGCCACGCCGGGCCGAGUCCUUCCCACCCAGGCAAGGAUGGAGAAACGGAAAUACCACCACCCUCCAGCCAAACCUGGGAGGACUGAUUGCAGGGGAGCUGGUGCUCCAGAUGUUGCACUAGAGGCGCUGCGAGUGUGAGCAGGUGGCAGUGGGCAACAUCAUGGGUUGUAGCAGAUGUUCUCAACAUUUCUUUUGAAACUUCUUUAUAUUGCCUUGCAAGAGGAGCCCUAGAGCCUCAUCCCUGGGGUAGCUACUAUGCUCUGAUGUAAGCUGUUGUCCACCAGGGAGCUUUGGCAAGAGAAUUGGCCAGAUCACCAACUUCAUCUCCACUGUAGAAAAACAACUUGAAGCUCAUCUCUGUUGAAGAUACACUGUCUGUAGGACAGGGGUAGACUGAAUACCUGCUUCACUGAAUACCUGCUUCACAGCACCUUUCACAUUUUCUUGUUGGAAAGACAACCGUUGGAGAAUCAUCUUGUUACCAUCAGCAAAAAUGCAAACAAAUCAAGACAUUAAGAAUGCCACAGUGGCCAGCAGUUAAUGAUGCCAGUGUUACACAAGCUUCAGCAAAGUUUUCAAGACAGUGUGCCUCACUAGCCAGGAAUCAGGGAAGAUUGAACCUAUCCUUUUUGUCUCAGCUGUUCCUCAAAUCAGUGCAGCCCCUCCAAAUUAAUGUGAAUUGAAACAUGCAUUGCCUUUUCAACUUAAUUGAGUACUUACUAUGGGUGAAUCACUGCACAAAAUAGGGGAGGGAAAAUGAGGGAGACAAGUAAGAUGUGUUUCCUGCCUUCAAUGGAUUUACAAUUAGUUUCAGGGCACUUUUUUUUCCCUGCUGCUCUUAAUUAAGUGUGUUCUAAGAUAGAAAACAAAUGAAUGGAAAAGUGUAUUCUGUAAGUAUUUUAAAUCCCUUUAAUAAAAAACAAAACAAAACAGUCUAAUGUGGGCAACUAAGGACAUCUUAAUUCCAUUUGUUUGGACUUUUGAUAGGUAGGAUUUAUUUUAUUCAUUCUGUAAAUAUUUGGUAGACUUUAGAGAUAUUAACACAUUAGAUUUGGAAUUAAUUGAAUUCAAUUCUCCCCCCACUCCCGAGCUAUAGAUUAUCUGUUGAAAAAUAUAUUGUGUUUGUACAUUUCUUGCAGAGUGGGUAGGUGAAUUACAUAUGUUGUCUCUGUAGGCCUCUACCUUCUGUGCCUUAGGAGCCUGACAUCAUGUGAGCUAUUAGCUUCGGGAAAGGGGGAGAUUUGUAUCAAACUUGGGAAUGUUGUUCAUGGACCCAGCAUAGGGUUGGGAUAGGGGCAAAAGAGACCUGGGCAAUGACUCUGUAGGAAACUUUGGCUAUUUUGGUAUUCAUGUGUUGUCCUCUAUACUACAAAAUUAUGGUUUUUUUUUUUUGAAGACUUAUUUCUGAUCUGGGAAUAAGUCAUGAUUCUUCCAGUGUUAAGAUGCUAAUAUGACUGUAGACAUUAGACAUUUUAUGUGGUGUAUGUAACACAUUUUUGUAUGUAUGAAGCAACAAUAGACAUGUCUUUGUCUUGAGUGGUGUCCAUCUGAAUGGAAAAUGUGCCAGCUUUUUUUUUUUAAACAUCAACAGGCUUCUUAAUUAAGCUGCCACUAUAUACUGCCAAUAGCACUGUGUGGCAUUUGAGAAAUGAAUUGUGAAGUGCCGUUUCCCUCUUAUUGA